AUUAGAAACAAGGAUUGCUUAAUUGAUUCAAAAUUUUAUUAAAUUUAGAUUGGAUUUGAACAGGAAGAGGGGGAACUGAACUCUGAUAUAAGAAUCUGUUUGAGAAGUUUAAUUAUUGAAGUUUCCAUCUUUUUUCUUGAAUUAAUCUCAUUUUAAUUCAAAAAACUGAAAAUCGCUUCUCAUCAUAAGAAUACUUCCUUGAACGAUUUG
Long non-coding RNA from Telopea speciosissima, 210 nucleotides. RefSeq lists it as uncharacterized. The transcript has 3 exons. The record is from RefSeq and is a predicted model, not a curated record. Lineage: Eukaryota; Viridiplantae; Streptophyta; Magnoliopsida; Proteales; Proteaceae.